Molecule: unclassified non-coding RNA, 387 nt
Filed under: uncultured fungus
Lineage: Eukaryota; Fungi
Description: partial contains internal transcribed spacer 2 and large subunit ribosomal RNA
Source: RNAcentral
AACGCAUAUUGCACCCGACAGGCUCGCUUGUCGGGUCUGCCUGUUUGAGUAUCAGCUAACCCCAACAGCCGCGCGCGGGCCCUGCGUGCGGGCGCGGCUUGUUGGUGCUCGCGGCGCGCACGCGCUGCGGAGCUGGGCGGCUCGGUGCCGGCAACGGCGCUGUCCCCCGAAAUGCAUUGGUCAGCCGGCGCAUCGCCAAGUGCGCCGCGCCCGGGCCGUGCCGACUAGCAUGUUAAGCAUCUCGCGAUGUCCUUGCUAGCGCGGCGCGGCCGCCAACGGACGCGGCCCUGAUGCCCGAACGCACCACCCGCGCACCCGCGCCUCGGCGGCGGGCGCACGCCCCUUCACCUUGAUCUCAAAUCAGGCAGGAUGACCCGCUGAAUUUAA